CUUGCGAAGUGAUGACGGUUUAUUCCAUUGGGAAAUAAAUAAAAAAUCUGAUGUUUUAAAAGUUAUUGAAAUCUUUACAACAACAUAUCCUUCAAAGUUAGCAAAAAUGAAGGAAAGAAUGCAGAAUGUGAGACGAACCCUCAACGACUAUACACCAAGAGUCCGGUGAAGAUCGGAUUAUGAUAUAGUCUGAACCCUGCAGCGAUGUAGGG
RNAcentral lists this non-coding RNA (212 nucleotides) under Candidatus Daviesbacteria bacterium GW2011_GWA2_42_7. The record is from RNAcentral. Lineage: Bacteria; Candidatus Daviesiibacteriota.